Molecule: RNA transcript, 15119 nt
Organism: Corythoichthys intestinalis (scribbled pipefish)
Lineage: Eukaryota; Metazoa; Chordata; Actinopteri; Syngnathiformes; Syngnathidae
Exons: 3
Source: RefSeq, a predicted model, not a curated record
AGAUGAGGUAAACUUUCUGCAGCUACCAUUUACCUAAUUCAGUUGUGUUCACAGUGGACCGCCACUUUAGGUAUUAAAACACACACCUUUACAAAGAAAGAUUGUUGCCCGAAGUGUUGGGUUCAGUGAUCAUUUUGUAAAAAACGAAAAAUGAGACUAACCAGUCUUGGUUUCAGAAGAGCAGGAAGGAACUGUGUGAGGAAAUAUGUCCGUCGAAAAAUACUGUGAGGAUAAGAUCAUAUAUUCAUGAAUUUUAUAUCAUCGUGAAAAGUAUGAGAAUCUAAAAAGAAAGAAAUAACUACAAAUAUAAUUUUGAGGACAAAUUUGCUGAUCAAAUUAUGUAGAGUACCUGGCCUCCAUAACAACGGCAGAGAUUUUCCCUGUAAUCUCAAAGAGAGAUGAAGCUUUCUCCACGUCCUGUGCAGCCUGGAGCUAGGGAAAUAGGGCAAAGCUUUAUCAGAAUCCAUAUAUUACAGGCGGUCGUUAGUUUAUGAAAGUUUGGACAUUUAAAAGUUCGAUAUAACAAAUAGUACACAACGAGAUACUUUCAUUUCUUUUAGUAUGACCUACAGUGCUGCCCAAAUGUAUUGGGCAAAAGUAAGUACCCCUGCAAUUCUGUCAGAUAAUGCUCAAUUAUUCCUAGAAAAGGAUUGCAAUUACAAAUGCUUUGGUAGUAAUAGCUUCAUUUAUUUUUGCUUGCAAGGAAAAAACAAAAUAGAGAAUGAAAAACAAAUUAAACCAUUAUCAUUUUACACAAAACUCCAAAAAUGGGCCGGACAAAAAAAAUCAUGUGAUGCUUUUCUCAUUUGUGUAAUAACAACACCUGGUACUUACCUGUGGCACAUAACAGGUGGUGGCAAUAACUAAAUCACAUUUGCAGCCAGUUAAAAUGGAUUAAAGUUGACUCCACCUCUGUCCUGUGUCCUUGUGUGUACCACAUUGAGCAUGGAGAAAAGAAAGAAAACCAAAGAGUCUGAGGUCUUGAGAAGCAAAAUAGUGUGGAAGCAUGGGCAAUCACAAGGCUAGACAUCCAUCUCCAAAGACCUGAAUGUUCCUGUGUCUACCGUGCGCAGUGUCAUCAAUAAGUGUAAAGCCCAUGGCACUGUGGCUAACCUCCCUAGAUGUGGACGGAAAAGAAAAAUUGACGAGAGAUUUUAACGAAAAAUUGUGCGGAUGGUGGAUAAAGAACCUCGACUAGUUCAAGCUGUCCUGCAGUGAGGGUACAACAGUGUCAACCCGGACUAUCCGUCGGCGUCUGAAUGACCCAGAGACAUAAAAAAGCCAGGCUGGAGUUUGCCAGAACUUACCUGAGAAAGCCAAAAACGUUUUGGAAGAAGUUUCUCUGGUCAGAUGAGACAAAAGUAGAGCUUUUUGGGAAAAGGCAUCAAUAUAGAAUUGACAGGGAAAAAACGAGGGCUUCAAAGAAAAGAACACGGUCCUCACAGUCAAACAUGGCGGAUGUUCCCUGAUGUUUUGGGGUUGCUUUGCUGCCUCUGGCAUUGGACUGCUUGACCGUGUGCAUGGCAUUAUGAAGUCUGAAGACUACCAACAAAUUUUGCACGAUCACGUAGGACCCAGUUUGAGAAAGCUGGGUCUCCCUCAGAGGUCAUGGGUCUUACAAUGACACAAAACACACUUCAAAAAGCACUAGAAAAUGGUUUGAGAGAAAGCACUGGAGACUUCUAAAGUGGCCAGCAAUGACUCCAGACCUGAAUCCCAUAGAACACCUGUGGAGAGAUCCUUAAAUGGCACCCUUAAAAUCUCAGAGACCUGGAGCAAUUUGCCAAAGAAGAAUGGUCUAAAAUUCCAGCAGAGCAUUGUAAGAAACUCAAUUGAUGGAUGCCGGAAGCGGUUGUUCGCAGUUAUUUGGUCUAAAGGUUGUGCUACCAAGUAUUAGCCUAGGAGUGCCGAUACUUUUGUCCGGCCCAUUUUUGGAGUUUUGUGUAAAAUGAUCAUGAUUCUUUUGCCCAUUCUCUUUUGUGUUUUUUCAUUGCAAGCAAAAUAGAUGAAGAUAUUACUACCAAAGCAUUUGCCAUUGCAAUUAUUUUCUGAGAGAAAUUGAGAUUAUCUGACAGGGGUGCCAAUACUUUUGGCCAGCAGUGCACAUUUUGGUUUAAAAAAAAAAAAAAAAAAAAACAUUUGGGGGUGUGAGGUGGGUCAUUCAAUAUUAGAAUUACUGCACAAGCAAAAUUAAGAAAAAGAGUCAUAUUGUAAAGACAUUUACCAAUACCUUGGGCUUGUGAAAAAGCUGUAUUAAAUUACAUGUUUUAAUAUGGCCCGUAAGGUCUAAUGUUACAAAUUAAGGAUGUCCUGAUAGCAUAUUUUUUGCACCCGAGUCAAAGUCACAGUUUUGAGAAUCUGCCGACAGUCCCAACCAGAUACCGAAAAAAAAGUUGUUUUAUUUGCUUAACAGUAUAGUAGUAGACUACAGUUAGGUCAGGAAUAAUAAAAUAUUAUUUUUUUAAGGAAAUAGUCAUCCAUUUUGUCUUCAUUGUUACUUACGACAUGCCUAAAACAUCUACAAGUUAAAUUGUGAUGGUCUUUGAUAAAAGUGACAUUUAUCUGAUUAUUUAUCGUCCGAUUAAUCGAUUAUAAAAAUCAUUGUUAGUUGCAGCCCUACCAACUUUAGUUGUGCAUUCCCCUUACACUACCGCACUCCUAUUUCACCUACUUUUCCUCUGCAUAUCCUUCCCUACAUGGAGGACACAAUUUGGGAAGAGUAGUUAUGCCAAUGCUUCUUAUAUUAGGUAACAUGUAUAGUAGGGGUGUGACAAUAUAUCGAAAUAGUGAUAUAUCGCCAGUGUUGUGAAAGAUUACUUGAAAAAGUAAAAUUUAAUUACUGAUUACGCCUCAACCAUGUAAUCUAGUUACUUUACUUAUUACUUUAUUAUCAAAGUAACCAAUUUACUUUAAAAGUAAUUUAUUGGUUACUAUUUAUCAAUUUUUCUCCCUUUGUCGCCUCAACAUGAGAAUGACAACAGAAAUAUGUCAUCGCAUGUAAUUGACUUUCGAGAAUUUAAUUUAAAAGGGAAGAUCAGAAUUUUUCACAUAAGGCUUAAUCUUCGAGUUAGCGUAGGUUUAAUUAGUCUAUGGAGUUGAGUUCAACCACCACUGACUCGUGUUAGCUAGGCCACUCCGGAGCCCUGCAACUAACAAAUAACCGACAAAUUGCAUGGAAUUUGUUGAAAUCAACUCCAUCCAUCCAUCCAUCCAUUAUCUUCCGCUUAUUCCGGGGUCGGGUCGCGGGGGCAGCAGCUUUACCAGGGAAGCCCAGACUUCCCUCUCCCCAGCCACUUCAGCCAGCUCCUCCGGCGGGAUUCCAAGGCGUUCCCAGGCCAGCCGAGCGACAUAGCUUCUCCAGCGUGUCCUGGGUCGACCCUGGGGCCUCCCGCCGGUGGGACAUGCCCGGAACACCUCUCAAGGGAGGCGUCCAGGAGGCAUCCGAACCAGAUGCCCGAGCCACCUCAACUGGCUCCUCUCAACGCGGAGGAGUAGCGGCUCGACACCAAGCCCCUCCCGGAUGACCGAGCUUCUCACUCUAAGGGAGAGCCCGGACACCCUGCGGAGGAAACUCAUUUCGGCCGCUUGUAUCCGGGAUCUUGUUCUUUCGGUCACGACCCACAGCUCGUGACCAUAGGUGAGGGUAGGAACGUAGAUUGACCGGUAAAUCGAGAGCUUCGCCUUUUGGCUCAGCUCCUUCUUCACCACAACGGACCGGCGCAGAGUCCGCAUCACUGCAGACGCUGCACCGAUCCGCCUAUCAAUCUCCCGCUCCCUCCUACCCUCACUCGUGAACAAGACCCCAAGAUACUUGAACUCCUCCACUUGGGGCAGGAUCUCAUCCCAGAGAGGGCAUGCCACCCUUUUCCGGCUGAGGACCAUGGUCUCGGAUUUGGAGGUGCUGAUCUUCAUCCCAACCGCUUCACACUCGGCUGCAAACCGCCCCAGUGAGAGUUGGAGGUCACGGCUUGAUGAAGCCAACAGCACCACAUCAUCUGCAAAAAGCAGAGAUGCAAUGCUGAGGCCACCAACACCGGACACCCUCAACGCUUCAGCUGCGCCUAGAAAUUCUGUCCAUAAAAAUUAUGAACAGAAUCGGUGACAAAGGGCAGCCUUGGCGGAGUCCAAUCCUCACUGGGAACGAAUUCGACUUACUGCCGGCAAUGCGGACCAGACUCUGACACCGGUCGUACAGGGACUGAACAGCCCUUACCAAGGAGCUUGGUACCCCAUACUCCCGGAGCACCCUCCACAGGACUCCCCAAGGCACACGGUCGAACACCUUCUCCAAAUCCACAAAACACAUGUAGACUGGUUGGGCGAACUCCCAUGCACCCUCGAGGACCCUGCCGAGGGUGUAGAGCUGGUCCACUGUUCCACGGCCGGGACGAAAACCACACUGCUCCUCCUGAAUCCGAGAUUCGACUUGCUGACGGACCCUCCUCUCCAGCACUCCUGAAUAGAGUUUACCGGGGAGGCUGAGGAGUGUGAUCCCUCUAUAAUUGGAACACAUCCUCCGGUCCCCCUUUUUAAAAAGGGGGACCACCACCCCGGUCUGCCAAUCCAGAGGCGUGUCAGCCAUGACAGCCCUACAACAUCCAGAGCCUUUAGGAACUCCGGGCGGAUCUCAUCUACACCCGGGGCCUUGCCACCGAGGAGCUUACCAACCGCCUCAGUGACUUCAACCCCGGAGAUUGAAGAGCCCACCUCAGAGUUUCCAGACUCUGCUUCCUCAAAGGAAGGCGUGUCGGUGGAAUUGAGGAGGGCUUCGAAGUAUUCUCCCCACCGACUCACGACGUCCUGAGUCGAGGUCAGCAGUACACCAUCUUCACUAUACACAGUGUUAAUGGUGCAACACUUUCCUCUCCUCAGAUGCCAGAAUUUCCUCGAAGCCGUCCGGAAGUCGUUUUCCAUGGCCUCGCCGAACUCCUCCCAUGUCCGAGUUUUUGCCUCAGCGACCGCCGAAGCCGCAGUCCGCUUUGUCAGCAGGUACCUGUCAGCUGCCUCCGGAGUCCCACAGGCCAAAAAGGCCCGACCCGAGAGGCCUCCUUCUUCAGCUUGACUGCAUCCCUUACCGCUGGUGUCCACCAGCGAGUUCGGGGAUUGCCGCCACGACAGGCACCAACCACCUUACGGCCACAGCUCCGAUCGGCCGCCUCAACAAUGGAAGUGCGGAACAUGGUCCACUCGGACUCAAUGUCCCCCACCUCCCGCGGGACAAGGGAGAAGUUCUGCCGGAGGUGGGUGUUGAAGCCCUUUCUGACAGGGGAUUCUGCCAGACGUUCCCAGCAGACCCUCACAAUUCGUUUGGGCCUGCCAGGUCUGGCCAGCAUCUUCCCCCACCAUCGGAGCCAACACACCACCAGGUGGUGAUCAGUUGACAGCUCCGCCCCUCUCUUCACCCGAGUGUCCAAAACAUGCGGCCGCAAGUCCGAUGACACGACCACAAAGUCGAUCAUCAAACUGCGGCCUAGGGUGUCCUGGUCCCAAGUGCACAUAUGGACACCCUUAUGUUUGAACAUGGUGUUCGUUAUGGACAAUCCGUGACGAGCACAGAAGUCCAAUAACAGAACACCGCUCGGGUUCUGAUCGGGGGGGCCGUUCCUCCCAAUCACGCCCCUCCAGGUCUCACUGUCAUUGCCCACAUGAGCGUUGAAGUCCCCCAGCAGAACGAGGGAGUCCCCAGAGGGGGCGCUCUCCAGCACACCCUCCAAGGACUCCAAAAAGGGUGGGUACUCUGAACUGCUGUUUGGUGCAUAAGCACAAACAACAGUCAGGAUCCGUCCCCCCACCCGAAGGCGGAGGGAGGCUACCCUCUCGUCUACCGGGGUAAACCCCAGCGUACAGGCACCAAGCCUGGGGGCAAUAAGUAUGCCCACACCUGCUCGGCGCCUCUCACCGUGGGCAACUCCAGAGUGGAAGAGGGUCCAACCCCUCUCGAGAGGACUGAUAUCAGAACCCAAACUGUGUGUGGAGGAGAGUCCAACUAUAUCUAGUUGGAACUUCUCUGCCUCACACACCAGCUCGGGCUCCUUCCCCGCCAGAGAGGUGACAUUCCAUGUCCCAAGAGUUAGCUUCUGUAGCCGGGGGUCGGACCGCCAAGGCCCCCGCCUUUGGCUGCCGCCCAGAUUGCUACGCACCUGACCCCUUUGACCCUUCCCACAGGUGGUGAGCCCAUGGGAAUGCGGACCCACGUUGCCUUUUCGGGCUGUGCCCGGCCGGACCCCAUGGGAAAAGGCCUGGCCACCAGACGCUCGCCUUCGAGCCCCACCCCCAGGCCUGGAUCCAGAGGGGGGCCCCGGUAACCCGCGUCCGGGCAAGGGAAACUUGGAUCCUGUAAUUUUUUCCAUCAUAAGGGGUCUUGUGAGACAUUUUUUGUCUGGCCCCUCACCUAGGACCUGUUUGCCAUGGGUGACCCUGCCAGGGGCUUAAAGCUCCCAGACAACAUAGCUCCUAGGAUCAUUGGGACAUGCAAACCCCUCCACCACGAUAAGGUGAUGACUCAAGGAGGGGUGAAAUCAACUCCACCGACUAAUUAAACCCACACACACACACAAAGAUUAAGCCUAAUGUGAAAAAUUCUACACUUCGGGUUAGGGUUUUAGGGGUUAACAGCAUAUCAGUGCCAAUGUAAAACAAUUCAAAUUGACAGCACAAUAAUCAACAACACACAAAUGAAUUGCAUAGUGCAGAGGACUGCGGACCUCCAAGCCGUCUGGACCGGAUCUCAAGCUGUCCGGACUAAUACACGUUGCAAAAACAAAAAUAAUUUUUUUCUGUGGGUUUGCAGAGCGGAGGUGGGCAACAAACAAAACCUUAGUGGUGACGCGCGUGAGCAGGCCAAUGGGAGUGAAGCAUUUGAAAGUUAUUUUUAGAACAGCAUGUCUCAUACUCGCUUUCCAGACUCCGUGGAGUGACAGCCAAAAACUGAGCCGAAUGAAGUUGGAGGAAGAGGCGAAAAGGCAAAUGGCGUGCUCAAAACUAUGCAAGAUUGAUGCAGAAAACAGAGUGUUUAAGGGGGAGUGGACCAACACAUUUUUGUUCAUUUUACCUGGCGGCAGCACAAGACCGCUAUGACUCAUCUGUUCAGAGACGGUAGCGCUUGUAAAAAGCAGCAAUUUGAAAAGGCACUACGAGACGAAGCACGCAGCUUUUUUGCAAAGUUUCCCUAUGAACUCUGCCAUCCGUUCUCAAAAAAUAGCGGAAUUAAGGGCUCAAUAUGAUCGCACCUCAAGGCUCAUGGUUCAUUUAUUCACUGCACAGCAACGCGCAAAUGAAUGCUCCCUCAGAAUAGCGUGCAUAUUGGGUCUAAAAACAAAAAGUCUUUCAGUGACGCACCGAUUGUCAAAGAUUGUAUGAGUGCAGUUGCUGAAACUUUGCUUGAUGGAAAGCAAAAAGAAGAGCUCUGUCAAAAAAUAAAGCAAAUCCCCCUGUCAGCAUCCACAAUUUAAAAAAAAAAAGUCUUGAACAUGUUCUUAUGCUGCUAUUUAAUAAUUCAAUUAAAGCACUUUUUUAGUUUUAUGCACCUUUUAUAUUUUAUUUACAUUUUUGAAUGUUGUAAUUAUCAUCAUGGGCACGUAAAGAUACGUUUGUAUUUUGGGGAAAAAAAGAAGCAUUAAAAAUAUUUCUGGACCCGAGAUUUUUGUAGUUUUUUAAUUUCGGACCCAGAGAAUUUUUAAUUCAUGACCCCUGGCAUAGUAAUAAAUAAAUAAAUAAGACACAAAGGUAAGGUAGGGGCGGGGACGUGGUCAAUUUGUCAACAAAAAGUGGCAGCAACAAAGCACUAUAAAUGCAAUCGGACUUACAACACAUCCCUAAGAUGUGAAACGAAAAAGUCACCUCACAGGAUAAAUGUGCAACAUGAAUAUGACGUAAACAGUGAUCGCCGAUGACUACCCGCCGUUGCAACGGCAAAGCUACUAAAACGGCCGCGCAUGUAGCAGCUCCAACUUAUUGCUGGAAGCCUCCAGAAUGAAGGAAAAAUACUCACGUUCAUUCAUGGACACACACAGACCAACAUUCCCUAACACAUCUCAAGAGGUGGCUGCACUCAGCUCGAAUGAUUGUGCACCUGCGCUGGCACACGCCUUUCUCAGUCCUAAAACACUUAUCGCGUGUGACUCGAGACCAAAACAGGAAGUCACUGUGAGCGGUUACCAUGGAAACGAACACAUAGUGCGGAUCACGCUUACAUUUUUUACUCAAAAUGCUCUUCGUACAUGACUACAAUUUUUCUUCAUUUUACAUACAUUAUGAGGCAAUAACAAAAUAGUAUCAUUAAGGAAACUAACUUUAAUCAGAUGGGUUGGAAAAAUGAACAUGUUAGAUUACUCGUUACUGAAAGAGUAAUCAGAUUACAGCAAGGCGUUACUUAGUAACGCGUUAGUGACAACACUGUAUAUCGCGAUACUUCUUAUCCUAAUAGCUUAUCGAUACGUUUCCACAAUGCCACUACUGUCUUUCAACACUCUACCCAGCCAAGUCUUCCAUCCGUCAUUUGUGUCAAUUAUAUCAUCAACUGUCAUUUUAAUUUCAUAGCACAUUGAAUCCUCAAAAUGUCACUGUACCUGGACUGGUGCAGCUUCAGCACCACAAAAAUUCUGAUAGAGACCCAUGUCCUCCAAUGAUUCCUGAAAAGAUGGACAAAAUAUAUAAACAACCGAACAUCCAAUCGGUAUUUAAAAAAUGAAUGUGAUUAAUAUUGAAGGCCACAAAAUUAUUUUGUCCCUUAAAGUUACCUUGAGAUCAGCAAGUCUUGUCUUGGCCAGGGAGACGUACUCCAUCAGGAGGCUACGGUACUUCGUGGGUACAUACGGAGGGUGGAGAAUGUGCAUCUUGAAAUUGAAAUUUAUGUUAUUUUAUUGUUUUUUAAUUAUGAAUAAGUUUGACAAUUUGUACUAAUAUUGUCUUCUAUUAGGAAAACCCACAAAAUCUAAUGCAAACAGUGAUGAGUACAUGUACAACUUAAAGGGAAAUAGUAUUUUUGCUAGCAUGCUAAUCUAUCAUUAUAGACAUGCCUGAUUCUAUUAUUUUGAACAUAAUAAAGAUGCUACAACCAUAAUGUUAACAAAUGAUAAAAUACAUCUAAAAUGUGAGUGCAUGAGAAAGGGUCAUUCUGCUAGAAAGGGACCCUGGGCCCAGUUUUCUCCAUCUGUUUGCCUGACUGUUUUCAUUUUUGUAUUUGUUAUUUUUGAAUGUUCUCGACUUGGAUUAAAUUGUCAACCUUUUGGAAAGUCGUUGUUAGAGGUUUUCUCAGGUUAAUCAAAGUUAGUGUUCUUUGAAUUAGCGGUCACAACAACUUGAACCCGCUGAAUUUGGCUCAGAGGUAAAUCACCAACACAUGCAUCAGAUUACCUUUAGGUACUGUUGGGGUUCAAACGGAACCAAGUCAGACAGAAACUUAAGUAGAAACAUCAGCGAUUUCUUGCUUGUAGCAUGGAAACCACUGGCGCUACCAAAAGACUCCUGGCAUCACAACAAACAAAAAGAAAGAUUUUGAGAAAUCUUACAUUCUGAAACGUAAACUCCUUUUGGCCAUCGGUUUGUGUGAGAUAAGAACAUGACUUGCAUUUCAAAUGACAAAAAACAUGUAAGGGUGAUAUUAUUUUACGAGGCAUAUUUGCGUGGACCAACUUUUAGAUGUAUGGGCUUAAUAAGAACAAAUAGUAAUAUUUACUUAAAGUAAAUGGAAUAAUCUUACAUAUUAAUUUGUUAACUGGUCUAACAUUAAAAACAAGAUGUAGAAAAUUAUUUGACAAGAUUUAAGAAAAAAAAUCUUACUAAAAUGUUACAAAUUUGCUGUGUAAAUAACACAGUACUGUAACAUGUUUGGAACUUUUGUUCAAAUAAAAAACUAACAAGACUUUUUCCGAGAUCGGAUCGGGACUCUGACAGCAGAUUCUCAAAAUCAGGUGACUCGGGUGCAAAAAUAUGCGAUCAGGACAUCCUUAUAACAUAUGUUAGUCCCAAACUCUCUUAUUAAGUGCACCGCAAUCAAUAAAACAAAUACACACCAUUAGCAGUUUUACGGCGGACUACAGUGAUUUCCCUGGCAUUAAAUACAUCAUCUAGAAAUUUAUUACCGACUGCAAUUCUCCACGAAGUUUAAGACCUUAAUUAUCCAGAUUUCAAAUUGAAGACACUUUAACCCUUUUUAAAGACCGGCAGAGACCCUGAAUGUUUUUUUUUUUUUUUUUUUUUUUUUAAUUCAACAUGAUUUUUUUUUUUCUCCAGAGUGUGACCGCUGAUGCUCUGUGUGACCAAGCGGUUGAACAAGACAAAACAUAACAUGACUAUUCUUAUUGUUUAUUUACGCGGAGUUCAAGAUGGCGCCCCUGUGUUUGGCUGACCGACACACUCUGCCUAAUGUAUUGGUAUUUACUAGGGGUGAGAAUUGAUACGAUUUUUACGAUUCCGAUUCCAUUAUCGAUAUUGCUUAACCAUUCGAUUCUUUAUCAAUUCACUUAUCGAUUCUAAUUUGGGGGAAAAGAAGAACAAACGUUUUGAUUGGCAUCGAGUUUGUUUAAUCAGAAGUCACAACCUUACAAACUCACAACGAGGUCAAAAGAGGCCCGAAGCCUCAAUGUUAACUGUGGCAAUAAGUGGCAAAUGCACAAGAAUGUGUAACAUUUUACAGAAACAUUAUUCUAAUAGAAAUAAAAAAAUAUUGGUAUAUAUUGGCAUAUAGGUCGUAGUUCUGCCUUUGGCAAUAUGUGUGCAGGGGUCCCCAAACUUUUUCCUGUGAGGGCCACAAACUUUUCCCUUCUCUGAUGAGGGGCCGGGGUCAGUUUGUAACAGAAAAAGUGUGAGGAUUGCAGGAGUGCCUAAAUGUAAAAAAAUAUUGUUUUUCAGAAAGCCACGUCAAAUAACCCUUUCUGGAUUCUUCACGGAACAAAAGUAAAUAAAAUAAAAAUAAUAAUAUAAUAUAAUAUAAUAAUAUAAUAACACUAUCAAUUAAAUAGAUAAUAACCAAAUAACCCUCUCUGAGUUCUUCACAGAAAAAGGCCAAGAAAUAAAUAACUGUUAGGUUUUGUGUUUGGUUUCUCCUUGUGUGACUUGUCCCUGUGAUUACCCAUUGCUCUCACCUGUGUGUGUUUUCCCAGUGUAUCCUGCAAUCUGCAUCCACCUGUGUUACCCAGCUGUUCGUCGUCUUGUUACCCCUUGUCUGCGUAUAUAAUGACCCAGUUUCUUGUCACUCCUUGUUGCGUCAUUGUCUAUGUCCGUCUUUGCCAAAGUCAAGUCCGUUCCACGCCCUUGUGUACCAGUCCCUCUGUUUAAGUAAGUUUUGGUUUGAACCUUGCCUUUUGAUCCCUAGUCUUUUUGUUUGUACUUUGUGCUUUUUGUUAGUUAUAAUUAAAACCAUUUUUUGAGUUCUCUGCCACCUGCUUUGCUGCUUUUGUUUUCCUGCGUUUGGGUCCUCACACACCUGCCCGCCCAGCAAUCCCUGACAAUAACACUAUUGAGAAAAAAUAUAUAUAAUAAAGAUUCAAAAUGCUCUCUGGUAUUGUUCAGGGGGCCGGACCAAAUGUGGAGGCGGGCCGUAUCCAGCCCACGGGCCGUAGUUUGGGAACCCCUGUGUUAAAGUGUAUUAUUUACCAUUAUAUUGAAACCCAUGCCUUUUAGUUUUUAUGGUGCUUUCACGCUCAAGUGGGGGCGCCCUUGCGCUUCUUCACGCAAAGAAGAACGCGCUCACGUGAAGAAGAGGGCGCUUACAUGCGAAGAAGAAGUGCCACAUCCAAGCGAGUGAGCGAGUUAGUGAGAGAGGGAAACACUGCUACGAGCCUACGUUCUUUGUUAAUGUUUGUAAAAUAUCUACAGAGGCAACACCUGUAUGUAUCAUCUUUUGUGUUGUUGUUGUGUGUUUCCAUUCGCGAUCGGACACUUAAAUCCAGUUGUGUAGUGGUUUGCACAAUGUGCUAAUGCUAGCGAACGCAUGCUAACCAUUUGUGUCAUUACUGUAUUAGCAGCUAAUCAUCGCUGAUUUACGUUGAUGCAAAACCGUUUGUUAUUGGGGACGAAAUUGAUUUGUUUCAUUUCUAUUUUUAGUUUCACUCUUUAAGUGAUGGUUGAAUAAAGUCAGCAAAUUAUACCAACGUCUUCUGCAUCGUCAUUUGGGAGUUUAGCUAGCUGUAUAGCCGGGACUGAGCCUUAGCGUCUCGAUGAGGACAGUGCAGUCGUAUUCCCUCCCGAUGCAGUUAUCUCCACCUUGCAAUGACUACAAGUCGCUUUGUUGUAAUUUUUCCUCGUGAAGUGAAGACACACUUUGGAGCGUUUGAACCUACGUGCUGUCAUUGUUAUGUUUAUGACUGCAAUGCUCGUGCUAAACCAUUGUAACCUUUCAUUUUCACCCUCUUUCCUGGUGAAGUGUAGCCAAACUUUGGAGCGAGAGGUUCUUGGUGCCAUGCUAGCUUGAUGCGUCUGGACAACAAGACACGUCACACCGCAAUACACGUCUUUAGGAAUCGUUAAAGGGAUCGUUAAGGCUUUUUCAUUGUGAUGUCGAGGCCUCGAAACACUAGGAAUCGGUUCGGAAUUGGAAUUGGAUUUCGAUUCCCAUCCCUAGUAUUUACCCUGUAUUUGCUACUUGUUAUUCGGACAGUGUCACCGCUUCAAGUAUACGAUCGCCUGACGUUUCCUAAUAUCUGUGACACAUUGGAAAAGCUGCCGUUCGGUGGCUCUUAUGGUCACUCAAAGUCACCGCCGCAUUUUCCGCCACAUAUACGGCGGUCAUUAUUGUAUAAUACUUUCCUGCACCUCCUUUAUGUAUCAUGAACUAUAUUUUUCAUUGUUGUAAAGCACUUUGAGGACCUUUCCGGCUUUUGUUAAGGGCUAUAAUAAAUAGAUUUGAUUUAUAUGUGAGAACAGAAUACUGAACCUUGAACCAGUCACUGUAGGAGGGGAAGAUGGAAGGUCCAUGCAAUGAUCCCUGCCGCGCCAACAAGAACGCAGUUACGAUGCUCUCCAAGUCGUAACCUUCGAAUGCCGAAGUCAGCAAUCUGGACAGAAGUUCUGAAAGGCAAUGGUGGAAAAAUAAGAGUACGAUACAUACAAGACAAAUGGCUUAUGUUUGUCUUAAAUAAGUAUUAAAAUCAAACCCCUGAACUUAAAUUUAUUUGAAUCCGAGUGACCAUUGUUUAAAGCAACACUAUGUAAUUUUUCAGUUUUGGUCUAUUUUAGUGACGCAGGUGGACAAAAGCGGUAGUGUUUUGCCUUAAGGAAGACUGCGUUUCCUAUGAGGACCAGCGCACAGUGUCGUAAAAUCCGGAUCUACCAGUAGCCUACAGAUGGAUUAAUCGAUAUUUCUGUUUCCAGCGGCUCGCUGUGUGAAGAAUGAAUAGUAAUGAGGUAAUGAAUCCAAUUGUGGCUAAACAAUAGUAUAUGUCGUUGUUGAAAAUAAAAACGUUUGAUUUUUUCCCGUAUUCCCCCACCGGCUUUCCGACCCCUCCCCCCUGUGACGAGUUCGGUUGAGGGGGGCGCUCACGCUAGGAAGUGAAAGCCGGGCCAAUGUUUAUUCUUAAGUGUCUUUUUAUCCUGGUAUCCUCUCUUUUUAUUUUUUUGUCUCCUCAGAUAAAACUUUUUGUCUCUUUUGUUGCUCUGCCAUCUUUAAAUUGAAUGAGGAAGUGACGUAUGCCGUAAAGCAGUCAGCAUAUUUGUAGUUUUUUGGAGUGGCAGUGUUUCUGCCACCCUCCUCAUAGUUAAAGGGUAUGAAAACGCAAAGGGGGUGUGAGACAUCAAUAGAACCGUUAUGUGCCAAGAUAACAAAUAUUGAUAAAGUUAACAAAAAAAUCAAUCACAUUAAUGAGCAAUUAUCGAAAAUAGAUCGAAAAUGACGAACAUUUCCGAAAGUGUUCCGGAAACAGCCGAAUGGGGCGGAGACGUCAUAACAAGGAAACAAAAGGUCGAGGCAGGUGCCAUUGUUGUUUAUCGACGAGAGAGUUGCGUUCGUGUUUCAUCAAAAAAUCGCUAAAAUGGUUCAAACCUGUCAUGCUAUGUGGUUUACAAAUAGCCAUUUGUCGCAAUGUAGUACCCAUGAGUUCCCGAACGCAAGAAAAAGAGCUGGACUCCGCAGACAAUGAGUAAAGUUCGUCAGUGCUAAGAGGGCUAAUUUUGCAAUUUUACAGGGAAACGGGAACCUGACGAGCCAGAAGAUGUGCCUACAACCUCAAAGAAAACAAAAUUUAUGCUACUUCCCAAUCACUAAUGACCCACAAACUGCGAAGGAGUGAAUUCGUGACCCGUAUGUGAAUAAAUCGAGUGAUUCGAGCAUGUCUGUGGAACAGGAAUAUCAGCUUGUAGAGAUCGCAAAUCACGGCGACUUAAACGUACAUUUGAGACAACAACUCUACCGAAGUUCUGGAUUAAAGUCAUUUCGGAAUAUCCCGACAUCGCUAGGAGCGAGCUGAAAACUGUGCUACAAUUUCCAUCCAACAUCGUGUAUUUGUGAUGCUAGCUUCUCUCACUCUCCCAUCUCGGGACCAUCUCGUCUCAACGAAACAAACUCAGCCCUCCCACUGAUUCAGCGGAAAACGGCUGUGCUGAAUUGUCCGCAGAGUCCAGAAGCCCUGAAAAGGAAAGAGCACACAGGAGACACUUCAAGAUUGAACUGUGUUGGAAAUUGUCACAAAACCGAAACAGAUUUAGGUCUAGAGACUGAGGAACGGAGGUCGGAGGAGACAGCAGGUGGAUUACAGGGCUCCAGACUGCUGCUAAAUGGGGGCAUUUCACUCGUAAAAUUUGACAACGCAAGUAAAUUUUUCCAUCUACUUGCACCUGUGCAAGCAGGACUUUUGCAGAUUUACAUUUUUCAUAAAACAUUUUUCUUGAAUUUUUUUGUAGCUGACAAACUUCUAUUCCACACACUAAUUGUUGGCUGCAAUGUGCAAAUAAAUUGCUCAAGCAUUGCAUUUCUCAGUAAUCUAUUAAAAAUGAGUGGAAAUUUAAAUAUUGACAGGGUUCCUCCAGCUCAUGGAAAGUUCAAUUCGAGACUUAUGUCUUAUGUUGUUUGAGACCAACAUGACAACAAAGCGAAAUUGUGGGCGUGGGCAGGCACAACAGGACUUCAAGUACUAUGACCUAAUCGUUGCUAAAAGUCCCACCCAAUCAAUCGAAACAACAUAGAU